AGGACGAACGCUGGCGGCGUGCUUAACACAUGCAAGUCGAGCGGAAAGGCCCUUCGGGGUACUCGAGCGGCGAACGGGUGAGUAAUACGUGAGCAACCUGCCCUUAGCUCUGGGAUAGCUCCGGGAAACCGGAAUUAAUACCGGAUAUGACCUAGGCCGACAUCGGCCGUGGUGGAAAGUUUUUCGGCUAGGGAUGGACUCGCGGCCUAUCAGCUAGUUGGUGGGGUAAUGGCCUACCAAGGCGACGACGGGUAGCCGGCCUGAGAGGGCGACCGGCCACACUGGGACUGAGACACGGCCCAGACUCCUACGGGAGGCAGCAGUGGGGAAUCUUGCGCAAUGGGCGAAAGCCUGACGCAGCGACGCCGCGUGGGGAUGAAGGCCUUCGGGUUGUAAACCCCUUUCAGCAGGGACGAAGCGAAAGUGACGGUACCUGCAGAAGAAGCGCCGGCUAACUACGCGCCAGCGGCCGC
Molecule: ribosomal RNA, 473 nt
Filed under: uncultured bacterium
Lineage: Bacteria
Description: SSU rRNA
Rfam family: Bacterial small subunit ribosomal RNA
Source: RNAcentral